RNAcentral lists this ribosomal RNA (253 nucleotides) under uncultured bacterium. Its description in RNAcentral is "partial 16S ribosomal RNA". It matches the Rfam family "Bacterial small subunit ribosomal RNA", at positions 524 to 776 of the family's 1533-position model. The record is from RNAcentral.
GACGAACCGUGCGAACGUUGUUCGGAAUUAUUGGGCGUAAAGCGCGCGCAGGUGGUUUCUUAAGUCUGAUGUGAAAGCCCACGGCUCAACCGUGGAGGGUCAUUGGAAACUGGGGAACUUGAGUGCAGAAGAGGAAAGUGGAAUUCCAAGUGUAGCGGUGAAAUGCGUAGAGAUUUGGAGGAACACCAGUGGCGAAGGCGACUUUCUGGUCUGUAACUGACACUGAGGCGCGAAAGCGUGGGGAGCGAACAGG